CCCUGGUAGUCCAUGCCGUAAACGUUGGGCACUAGGUGUGGGGGACAUUCCACGUUUUCCGCGCCGUAGCUAACGCAUUAAGUGCCCCGCCUGGGGAGUACGGCCGCAAGGCUAAAACUCAAAGGAAUUGACGGGGGCCCGCACAAGCGGCGGAGCAUGCGGAUUAAUUCGAUGCAACGCGAAGAACCUUACCAAGGCUUGACAUGAACCGGAAAGACCUGGAAACAGGUCCCCCACUUGUGGUCGGUUUACAGGUGGUGCAUGGUUGUCGUCAGCUCGUGUCGUGAGAUGUUGGGUUAAGUCCCGCAACGAGCGCAACCCUCGUUCUAUGUUGCCAGCACGUGAUGGUGGG
This 352-nucleotide ribosomal RNA is filed under the name Pseudarthrobacter sp. RNAcentral describes it as "bacterial SSU rRNA". It matches the Rfam family "Bacterial small subunit ribosomal RNA", at positions 785 to 1135 of the family's 1533-position model. The record is from RNAcentral. Lineage: Bacteria; Bacillati; Actinomycetota; Actinomycetes; Micrococcales; Micrococcaceae.